CCGGGGGGAAACUACAUUCAAUAAGCGGAGGAAAAGAAACCAACAGGGAUUGCCCUAGUAACGGCGAGUGAAGCGGCAACAGCUCAAAUUUGAAAUCUGGCGUCUUCGGCGUCCGAGUUGUAAUUUGCAGAGGGCGCUUUGGCAUUGGCAGCGGUCCAAGUUCCUUGGAACAGGACGUCACAGAGGGUGAGAAUCCCGUACGUGGUCGCUAGCCUUUACCGUGUAAAGCCCCUUCGACGAGUCGAGUUGUUUGGGAAUGCAGCUCUAAAUGGGAGGUAAAUUUCUUCUAAAGCUAAAUACUGGCCAGAGACCGAUAGCGCACAAGUAGAGUGAUCGAAAGAUGAAAAGCACUUUGGAAAGAGAGUUAAAAAGCACGUGAAAUUGUUGAAAGGGAAGCGCUUGCAGCCAGACUUGCCUGUAGUUGCUCAUCCGGGUUUCUACCCGGUGCACUCUUCUAUAGGCAGGCCAGCAUCAGUUUGGGCGGUUGGAUAAAGGUCUCUGUCAUGUACCUCCUUUCGGGGAGAACUUAUAGGGGAGACGACAUGCAACCAGCCCGGACUGAGGUCCGCGCAUCUGCUAGGAUGCUGGCGUAAUGGCUGUAAGCGGCCCGUCUUGAAACACGGACCAAGGAGUCUAACAUCUAUGCGAGUGUUUGGGUGUCAAGCCCGAACGCGUAAUGAAAGUGAACGGAGGUGGGAACCUUUCGGGGUGCACCAUCGACCGAUCCUGAUGUCUUCGGAUGGAUUUGAGUAAGAGCAUAGCUGUUGGGACCCGAAAGAUGGUGAACUAUGCUUGAAUAGGGUGAAGCCAGAGGAAACUCUGGUGGAGGCUCGCAGCGGUUCUGACGUGCAAAUCGAUCGUCAAAUUUGGGGGCAUAGGGCGAAAGAUUAAUGAAUUUUAUGUU
RNAcentral lists this ribosomal RNA (904 nucleotides) under Ectophoma multirostrata. RNAcentral describes it as "partial large subunit ribosomal RNA". It matches the Rfam family "Eukaryotic large subunit ribosomal RNA", at positions 28 to 948 of the family's 3401-position model. The record is from RNAcentral. Lineage: Eukaryota; Fungi; Ascomycota; Dothideomycetes; Pleosporales; Didymellaceae.